Molecule: non-coding RNA, 7191 nt
Organism: Rattus norvegicus (Norway rat)
Lineage: Eukaryota; Metazoa; Chordata; Mammalia; Rodentia; Muridae
Source: RefSeq, a predicted model, not a curated record
UCAUAUUGGCUGUUACAGUGCUCAGACAGCAAUCUAGAGGUGGCUAUGAGUGAACUUUUAGAUGUGGUUAAUAUUUAAUCCAUAGACUUGGGCUGAUGCAUAGUGCUCUCUGUUCGGUGGACAGGCCUCCUCUAAUCCGAGAACGUAAGUAUAGAGACCGAGGUUCUUCAAAGCUGCCCUGUGCAAACUGCUGUCUCCAGAUACCUGAGAAUCCAACACCAGGUGGCAAUGCCAGCUCCUGCCUAAAUUCUCUGGGAGCAGUACUUUAGGGACUUGCCAGCCCCCCAAAUCCUGUAAGCCAGUUGCUUAAAAAUCAGACAAUUGACGCUUUCUAUUUACUGAAAGCAAGAUGGUAGAAAAGAACCAGAAGUCCCCACUGUUACACAUGCUAGAGGUACCAGAGUCUAGGGCCUUGAAAAGGAAGAGAUGGGAGUGUGGUGCCAGACCUCGUCUCUUGGACAGAACCUGCAAGAUGUCUUCCUCUGCAUGGAGGGGCCGCCCCUGGGCCAGCAAGCCAUUUCAGGCUUGAGCAAGUCUUCUGACACUGCAGGGGGCCCAAGGCCAGGUGCAGGGAACACUGUGAGCUUCUGCUGUAAGCUACAGGGUCUCCUCUCAGGGCAGAAAACAGGAACUGACUGUGGCAGAGGAAGCAACGGGGCACAUGUACAGAAAGCCUGACAAUUUAAGCACGGCCGACAAUGGCUUGAGCAUUUUUCUAGACUAUUCACUGAUCACGUCUUAGAUACUUAGACGAUGCAAGCAAGUUUAAAAAAACAAAACAAAACAAAACUGACGGCCCAUACAGCACUAGCAUCUCCUAUAUUUUUGGAAGAUCAAGGAACACGGUCGGCCAUUUUGAUGGCUGUUUUGAAUUCUCACACCACAAAAAUCCUUCCCUUCAGGAAACUUGCGCCUGCAAGAACGGACAUGAAGUCUAACUGUUUUUUGUUUGUUUGUUUGUUUGUUUUUUAAAUAUCAGCACACUAACCACAGGUCAGGUUUUAGUCUUUUUAUAACACAGGCAACUCACGAACCAAAAAGACAGAUGAAGUCCAAUAUGUUGACCAAUUCUGGAUUUUCUAAAUGAAGAGCGUCUAGAUUUUUCUUUGAAAAGAAGCAUCAGCAUGCUUUUUAAAGGACUGCAGUUGAAUUUAUAAGUCCAAUUUGCGUUUUAGAAUUAGGCUUUUGACACAUGUGGUUAUUUGGGAUGCCGUGAAUGAGCCUGAAAUCAGAGAGUGGCCUUCAAGAAGCAUUCUUCUGGUACACUACUUAACAACCAAGAAGGCAUACACUGGCCUUGGCUACAAAACAGGAGCCUCAGCAGAACUCUUUGUAACCAGCUGAAGGGCACAGUGGGAUGAGGAUCCUGAGAGGAGAGGGGGAGGGAAGAUGAGAAGUGGAAAGGCAUGACUUUUUAAAGGCGGAAAACACAGAGAGAAGGUAAACAUACUUGUUAAACAAUCGAGCCCUUUGUUCUUGGUCUUCUGGGUCAGAGACAGUGCUAGAGUCCCAUUGUGCUCUGUUCCUCCUCUCUGCCUCUUCUGCCACAAGCACGUCUUGUAGGAUCCUUUGGGUUUGCUCUGCAUUAUAACAGAUGAUUGUCACUUUUCUGACACCGGUGUGAGCCCACCCACCUCAGAACACUCUUUCCUUCUCUAAAGCUGUAACAACAUAUUCCUGUAGAUUUGGCCAUCUCAGAUUGUACAUAAAUGGACGGAUAGGACUGGGUUCGCAUUUUUCUGAAGACACAUAAUGUUAGUUCAUUUAAAAAUCGUCCAGGUGUCAGAGUGCGUGCUGUAAUCACAGCACUUGAGGGGUGGAGACAGAAGGAUUUUGAGUUCAAGACCAUCUUCAAUAAUGGAGCAAAUUGGAGGCCAGCCUGGGGUAUACAAGGCCCUGGCUAAAGUAGUCAUUAACUGUUGGAAAUAAAGACUAUCUUGACUAGGACUAGUCAGUCAGUCCAUCAGUCUUUCUGUUUGCCUGUCUGUCUCUGUCUUUGUCUUUGUCUCAUUAAAAAAAACAAAAACAAACAAACAAACAAAAACCAUACUGGCAUUCUCUCCUCUCCCCCAGAUAAAGAGGUUUUGAGGGGGGAUAUCAAUUUGGGAGCUAGUGAGAUGGUCAGUGGGAAAGGGCUCAUGCCCUCAAGCCUCAGUUUGAUCCCUGGGCCCUGGGGAGGUGAGGAGGGAGAUGGGGAGAAGAGCUCUGACUCUGUAGCUGUAAAUUGUCCUCUGGCCUCUGUACACAAUAAAAGGUAUGUUUAUAAAAUGCCUUUUAAAAAAUAAUAUUUAAAAAUGGGAACAAGGGAGGAAGAAAACAUCAGAAUCCCUUCCAAGCAUGGCCUCUUCUGCUCCUGACUAGUGAUAUUCAUGCCUUUCCCAUCUUGGCCUGGCCUGAGAGGCAGUGCCCAUGCCACAGGGAGGUUCUCCUGACUCAGGAAAUGUACUUGUGGUAUUCAUCUUCCCUUCCCUUCCCUUCCCUUCCCUUCCCUUCCCUUCCCUUCCCUUCCCUUCCCUUCCCUUCCCUUCCUUUCCCUUUCCUUCUCUUUUCCUUUUUCCUUCCUUCCUUCCUUCCUUUUUCUUUUUCUUUUUCUUUUUUAAGGCAAAGUUCACAACACAGUAUAGAAGUCUAUGUAGAACAGCCCGGCCUUGAACUUACAGAGAUUCACUGCCUGUGCCUCCCAAGUACUUAGAGACAGGUCAUUAGGGCUGGGUUUUGAGAGUGUAGCUCCUCACCCUACUUGCUGUCUGCUUUCUCUGCCUCAUGCUCACAUGAGCUUACAAGACAUGCGCUCUCAGCAUCCAGCUGUAUGCCUGCAGUGUGCUGCUAUGCCUCCCUGCCUUUCCAGAACUAUAAGUCAAAUAAACCGUCUCUUCUAUAGGUUGCCCAGGUCACGGUGUUUUAUCACAGCAACAGAGAAGUGACUACUACGCUUAGCCUGGCUCCAGGCUUGUCCAUUGCAGACUUAGGACUUGUGAUCUCUACUAAAACCCAUGGCAGGGGAGGCUUAUCCUGGAGACAAGCUAUAGGAAAAACGAUUGGGUCUGCUCUCUUGGAUGUGUCCUUCUAUGCUCACACCCUAACUGUUGCCCUUCCAGACUCCUCUUUUGGACUUGACAGACUCUUUUGCCUCCCUCAGAGAGCACUGCCUGAGAGCUGCUCACUCAGACUCCCCAGAAUGUUUUUAACAGUAUGCACAAUAUGAGUGUGAACAGUCAAGGCUAGCCCCCUUUGCAUUGUAAGAACUACAAGGUCUCUUUGGCACUGAUGUAAACUGAUGCUAACCACACACUGUGAGAGAAAGAAGGUGGACGUCACCACAGCUCACCCUAAAGCAGCUCCAUUUUGGACCACCAAGGGUGAGCCGAGAGUCUCGAAGAGGGAGAUGGAUCACCCAACACUGAGGGAUUUGAGUUUCGCAGAGAAGCAGUUUAAGAACCCAGAAUUAUCACUCGGUAAUGUCUCUUACACAAUCAAUCAGGCUAAAACUCAAAUCCUCACAUUCAAAUGAUAAGAGGAUGUGAACGUCUUUUUCCUUCCUUUCUUCCUUCCUUUCUUCCUUUCUUCCUUCCUUCCUUUCUUUCUUUCUUUCUUUCUUUCUUUCUUUCUUUCUUUCUUCCCUUUUUUCUAGUUUUAGUUUUCAAAACUAAUAUUGAAAACCAGCUCUCCAAUGCUGGGCACACUGAUACAAACCUGUCCUCUUAGUACUGGGAGGCUGAGGCAGGAGGGUCAUGAGUUUGAGGUUAGUUUGGGCUACGUAACAAAACCCUGCUUCACAAACUAAAAACAAAAAUGGCCUUCAGUUCUGUUUUAAUGAUGUCAUUGACAUUAUAUUAUCUUUGCAGCUUUUUAAUCUUUAAGUCAUUUUAGAGCCCCAUAGAAAUUUCAAAAACAGCACAGAGAAUUUCCAUGUUGGCCUUCCUCAGCUUUUCUUAAUAACUUUUUUAUAAUCUUGCAUUGAUUAAAAUUAGGAAAUUGAUAUUGGUGCAAUAUUGAACUACAGAUGGUAUUCAUAUUUCCUUGGUUGUUUUAUGGUGUUAGUUAUGAUAUAUCUGUAUUUCUACAAGAGUCUAUCAGCUGGGCAAUUUUUGUUGGUAUUUGAACUCAGAACCUCUGGAAAAGCAGUCAGUGCUCUUAACUGCUGAGCCUCUCUCCAGCCCUCAUUUCCUUUUCAAAUAAGUGUUAUUUGUUUGUUUAUUUGUCAUUGUGCGUAUAUGAUAAGGGGGCAUGAUGUCAUGGUCUGUGGAGGCCAGAGGACAAUUUUGUGGAGUUGGCUCUCUUCUUCCCUUGGCCAAUGAGAAUUGAACUCAGGUCUAUAGGCUUGCCCGGCAAGCACUUUUACUUACUGAGCCAUCUUGCCACCUCUAAAACUGAAAAAAAAAACCCUCUUAUUUAUGUUUACUUUUCCUUAGUAACAUUUUAAAAUGUGCAGAAAAAAAUACAGAGAAGAAUGUGAUCGGUCUGAGGGGGUCCAAGUCCCAACUCUAGACUUAAGAGAUAUCAACAUUUUGACACGUGCUUUACAAUUGUUUUAAAGAAUAAAAUAUUAAAGAUACAGUAAACAUCUCGACUGAACUAUUUUUCUGGCUCUCGUCCUCCUCAGGCAUGGUUAUUUCUUUGGAUGAAAAUGAUGAAGUAAGCAAAUCAGCUAAACUCACUCUGUGUUUGUCCCUUACCUAAAACAUUAAAUUGUGACAGCAAUACAUAUGUAGCUCAUGUCAUUACUUACCAGUAUUUUAAAUUACACUGUGAAAAUAUUUAUCUCUCUUCAAAAGUGCACCAAAUACUCAAUAACAGUAAAGUAUUUGACACUGUAAAUUGGUUCCAGUGAUCAUAGCACAUGGGUACAUGGUAGGCACCACGACGUUAGCCUGAACAAUGGAUAAGAUCCAUGCAUGUCUAUGACAUAGAAAUUUAUAUUGUAUUAUCCUAAUGAAGUAAGACACUUGUAAAUAUUCUUAUCGAUUUGUCUACUGACUAUAUAUUGACUAUUUUAUUGAAAGGCUGAAGGAUGGACAACCUGCCACAUAACCUGAAAUCCACAAUGACAACCUGCAAGCUAAGGACAGAAAUAGGACAGAGACACUUCAAAGUCACCACCAGCAAGCUGGGCCCUUAUGACGGGUCUUGGAGAAGUGUCCUUAAGCAAGUGGAACCCAGAAACCUGAUACGACUUCAGAAUAUUCAAACUUCUCCUUGCACGCCCGUGCAGACCACACAGGCCACUUGUGUCCCGUCCCCUCUCUGUCCUCACUGACCUCACAGCUGCCCCAGGAUAUAUGUCAACGCCACUUUCCUAAACCAGGCUUUGUCUGGUUUCCCUCUUUCAGGCCGUCUCCCUCCUCAUCUUUAUUCUCAGUAGGAUGGGAUCCUCUCUCUGUAGAAGGCAGACACUGUCAACUCCAGAGCUCUCUUUGGAAGACUAGGGGAAGAAACAGCAAGUGUUUUCAUGAUGACUUUUAAAAGGCAGUUUCAUAUGCUCAUAAUCCCCACACCUGGCAUUUCCCUGUGUUUACAUUGCACCCACCGGGGUGUGCAGCCAUCAGGACUAACUUCAGAGCACUUCCUCACCCAUCGAUGCAGACACUCACUCCCUUCUUCUACACCUCCUACUUCCAGCUCUGGUGACCAGGAGUUUGUUCUUUGUCUCUGUGGAUUUUCCUACUUGGGAUUUUUUUUUCAGUCCUAGGGAUUGGGCUAAGGCCUAAUACACACGAGGCAAGUGCUCUAUCACAGAGCUCCACCUCCAGCCCUGCUCUGCACGUUAUAUGAAUGUGAUUGAUUGCAUUUUACGUGAGUAGCUUCUUCCCUUUCCGUAUUAUUUCUGAAGUCCAUCUGUGUUGUAGCAUGCACAAAGCCUCCAGUCCCUUUAAUGGCAGAAAAACAUUCAAUUGCAUGACACAAUUUGUUCACUCAGUCACUUGAUGAACAUUUGGGAUCCUUCUGCUCUGGGACUGCCACGGACAGUGCUCCUGUGGAUAUCGUUUUGUGGGUAUCUGUGUGGUCACAUGUUCAUGUCUUCCCGGUAGAUGCCUGGGAGUAGAACUUCCGAGUCACAUGCUAACUGAUGUUUUUGAAAAGGCACGGUAAUGUUUGUGUCUUUGUUGAACAAACUUUCAGCCCAGCUUUCUUAGCCCCUUAGCGACUUUGUGGCUUGCACUCGAAAAGCAAAAUCAAAACAAGAAAUGCUUAAUAUCUAGAAACCCCUCAGGCUGUGUCAGGGGCUACGAACAAUUUCCUUUUGUAUCAUAGCAUUUAUUUCCACACUAUGGGGGUUAUUAUUAUUAUUUUUAGAAGCCUGAACAUUUUUAGGAAGCUACAAACCAAUGCUGUGUGCUGUGUUGAAACUUGCUAUUCCAUAGAGUGACCUGAGCUAUUGCAGACCUCUGGGUCAUUAUUGCUAUCUCUAGAUGUUUCAGCUCCUAUCUCUAGAGCAAAUGGUGUCCUUACCUUGGUAAUAAAGGAAAAGGGAGAUGAGCAGGUAAGGGCUGAGCUCCUCCAGAUGACCACAGAAGGCACAGAAAGCACCCGGACCUUUGGAGAAGAGUGUCAGGAAAAAGUGCUCCACUCUUUCUGGAUAGCGAUCCCGAGAGAGGAUCUCCCUGUACUCUUUUAGGGAGAACACACCAUCAUACACCAAGUAGGGAAGCACCCGGGCCAGGUGGAAGUCCUUCAGCAUCCGCUCCUUGUACCUCGUCAGUAUUUCUGCAAGCCACUGACUCCUCUUCUCCUUCUCCCACUGUGUCCUUGUUUCAGAGGAAUAAAACCAAGAGUGAGCUCCUCGCUCCAACAUGCUAUGCCUUACGGAGCUGGAGACAGGGCUCCCUCCCGGUGGCUGCUGCUCUGAUGCCUUGCUGGCCGGAUCUACACAACUAGACAUCUGGGAGCUUGGAGUUAUUAUAGACGUGAGGAAUCGGCCAUGCUCAUAGCUGAACUUGAAUCAUAAUAUUGGCAGCUGCAUCAAGAACGGCAUUGCUAUCUGUAUGUGGUAGGUGCGUGUCCCACUGCCCGUUCUGGAGCCUGCAGCCCCCUUGCAGUACAGCUGUAAGGAGUUACAGGUGACCUUGAACCUGUCAUGAGGAGUGAUCUGAAGCUCUGGUGUUGCAGGCUUUUUCUGUGACAAGGAAUUGGGGAACAGAGUCUGCUGCCACCAUAAUAUUCUUUCCGGUUUGGGUCAUAGAAGAAAUUAGA